This 496-nucleotide ribosomal RNA is filed under the name uncultured bacterium. RNAcentral's name for it is "partial 16S ribosomal RNA". It matches the Rfam family "Bacterial small subunit ribosomal RNA", at positions 28 to 507 of the family's 1533-position model. The record is from RNAcentral.
GAUGAACGCUGGCGGCGUGCCUAAUACAUGCCAGUCGAGCGAACGGACGAGAAGCUUGCUUCUCUGCUGUUAGCGGCGGACGGGUGAGUAACACGUGGAUCACCUACCUAUAUGACUGGGAUAACUUCGGGAAACCGGAGCUAAUACCGGAUCAUAUUUUGAACCGCAUGGUUCAAAAGUGAAUGACGGUCUUGCUGUCACUAUUAGAUGAUCCGGGCUGCAUUAGCUAGUUGGUAAGGUAACGGCCUACCAAGGCAACGAUGCAUAGCCGAACUGAGAGGGUGAUCGGCCACACUGGAACUGAGACACGGUCCAGACUCCUACGGGAGGCAGCAGUAGGGAAUCUUCCGCAAUGGGCGAAAGCCUGACGGAGCAACGCCGCGUGAGUGAUGAAGGUCUUCGGAUCGUAAAACUCUGUUAUUAGGGAAGAACAUAUGUGUAAGUAACUGUGCACAUCUUGACGGUACCUAAUCAGAAAGCCACGGCUAACUACGUG